CAGUUUUGGCGGAGCCAUCCUUGGGAUACCACCCUUGUAGUACUGGGACUCUAACCAUAGGCCAUGAAUCUGGUCUUGGGACACUGUCAGGUGGGCAGUUUGACUGGGGCGGUCGCCUCCCAAAAGGUAACGGAGGCGCUCAAAGGUUCUCUCAGUACGGUCGGAAAUCGUACGUAGAGUGUAAAGGCAAAAGAGAGCUUGAUUGCAAGACAUACAGGUCGAGCAAGGAUGAAAAUCGGACUUAGUGAUCCGGUGGGUCUGCGUGGAAGGGCCAUCGCUCAACGGAUAAAAGCUACCCUGGGGAUAACAGGCUUAUCUCCCCCAAGAGUCCACAUCGACGGGGAGGUUUGGCACCUCGAUGUCGGCUCAUCACAUCCUGGGGCUGUAGUAGGUCCCAAGGGUUGGGCUGUUCGCCCAUUAAAGUGGUACGCGAGCUGGGUUCAGAACGUCGUGAGACAGUUCGGUCCCUAUCCGUCGCAGGCGUAGGAAAUUUGAGAAGAC
Molecule: ribosomal RNA, 501 nt
Filed under: Clostridioides difficile
Lineage: Bacteria; Bacillati; Bacillota; Clostridia; Peptostreptococcales; Peptostreptococcaceae
Description: bacterial LSU rRNA
Rfam family: Bacterial large subunit ribosomal RNA
Source: RNAcentral